UACGUAGGGUGCAAGCGUUGUCCGGAAUUAUUGGGCGUAAAGAGCUCGUAGGCGGUUUGUCGCGUCUGCCGUGAAAGUCCGGGGCUCAACUCCGGAUCUGCGGUGGGUACGGGCAGACUAGAGUGAUGUAGGGGAGACUGGAAUUCCUGGUGUAGCGGUGAAAUGCGCAGAUAUCAGGAGGAACACCGAUGGCGAAGGCAGCUCACUGGGACGGUACUGACGCUGAGGCGCGAAAGCGUGGGGAGCAAACAGG
RNAcentral lists this ribosomal RNA (253 nucleotides) under uncultured bacterium. RNAcentral's name for it is "partial 16S ribosomal RNA". It matches the Rfam family "Bacterial small subunit ribosomal RNA", at positions 524 to 776 of the family's 1533-position model. The record is from RNAcentral.